This 464-nucleotide ribosomal RNA is filed under the name Vreelandella stevensii. RNAcentral's name for it is "partial 16S ribosomal RNA". It matches the Rfam family "Bacterial small subunit ribosomal RNA", at positions 338 to 795 of the family's 1533-position model. The record is from RNAcentral. Lineage: Bacteria; Pseudomonadati; Pseudomonadota; Gammaproteobacteria; Oceanospirillales; Halomonadaceae.
CCUACGGGAGGCUGCAGUGGGGAAUAUUGGACAAUGGGGGCAACCCUAUCCAGCCAUGCCGCGUGUGUGAAGAAGGCCCUCGGGUUGUAAAGCACUUUCAGUGAGGAAGAACGCCUGGUGGUUAAUACCCAUCAGGAAAGACAUCACUCACAGAAGAAGCACCGGCUAACUCCGUGCCAGCAGCCGCGGUAAUACGGAGGGUGCGAGCGUUAAUCGGAAUUACUGGGCGUAAAGCGCGCGUAGGUGGCUUGAUAAGCCGGUUGUGAAAGCCCCGGGCUCAACCUGGGAACGGCAUCCGGAACUGUCAAGCUAGAGUGCAGGAGAGGAAGGUAGAAUUCCCGGUGUAGCGGUGAAAUGCGUAGAGAUCGGGAGGAAUACCAGUGGCGAAGGCGGCCUUCUGGACUGACACUGACACUGAGGUGCGAAAGCGUGGGUAGCAAACAGGAUUAGAUACCCUUGUAGUC